AGGAGAUUUGGUGGAGAUUUGUCUCUUAACUAUGGUUAAGUGGGGGGUACUAUAAAAUGCACAGUUCUGAGACACUAUAUACCUAUACUGUGAAAUCAGUACAUGUGUGUGUUUAGAAUGAUUAUAGCUUUUGGGGAAAAAACUAUUCUUGAAUCUAUUAGUCCUUGUUCUGAUGCACCUGUAACGUCUCCCUGAGGGCAACAGAUCAGAGCCAGGGUGAGAGCUGUCCUCAAUGAUGGUUUUUCCUCUGCUGAGGCAACGGGGGGUGUAAAUAUCCAUCACGGAGGUGUUGUGGAUAAAAAAUGUCAUAAAAUAAACAUAAGGGAGACCUAGCAUCCAGCAAAGGGGAGAAGAAGAAAAGACGGUCACCUAGACACAUAGAAGCGGGAUUAGGCGGACAUUGACAAAUUGGAAUUACACUUUAAAGAUCUUUAAGAGCAGUAGUACUCAAAAAAGUCAAAAAGAGGUAUACGAGCUGAGCUGAGGAGUGCUAAUACACACACACACACGCUCGUACAGUCAAGGGCGGGCAAGUAGACACAACAUACACACACACUCUCUCGCUCUCAUACACACACAUGAAUAACUUUAAUAAUCUUAUUGUAAUAGAGAAACUCUCUAUAAAAAAACAGAAUAGUAGGAUAUGCAGGACAGUAUGGAGGAUAUGCAGGAGCUUAAGCUCAUCACUUCUGAGAAUUCUCAUCGGUGUGGAUCUCGUGUGGUGGAACGGAACAAUAAAUCUGGACCCUUGCUUCUUCUCACUCACGGCUGGUGUCUUUUUUUCUAUCUCCAACUGGGCUCAGAGGUAGAUGUGAGUGUUGGCUUCUAUGUUGAAUUUUAAGUGUUUUUGGGUAAUAGGCUAUAUUUGAGCCAACAGAGGGGAGAGGUAAUAAAUAAACUUAUAAAUGUGAUUACUUGAUGACCGUAGACAAAACUCUAUAAAUGUGAAAUGUUUUGUUGAAGUUCAGAUGAAUCUCUGAUGUACAGAAUCUUCAACAGAGUUCUGCAGAAAGAUUUUGAAUGCCUGUCAUUCACCAGAACAAAUUUGCAGGUGAUCAGUCUGUCUAAAAGAAAAAAUCUAAACACACAAUAUAAAAUUCCUGCAGUGUGAAUAAAGCCUUUGUGUUGCUUUUAGCAAACAUGUCUAAGUACUCUCGGUUCAAUGUACACAAUUUACCCCAUUUAAAUGCAUUUUGGAAAUUGUUCCACAUGGCCUUAAAGUGUGAAUAUUCACUGUAUGCCAAAUAAGUAAUCAAAGAAUGGAAUGGAUUUUUUCUUCUCUAAUGGACCAAUUCUUCCCUAAGCAGUGGCUAUGUACCUAAAUCACUUAAAUUAGCAGUUAUUAAACCCUUGAUUAAAAAACCUGAUCUUGACCCGUCUCAAUUGUCCAGCUAUAGACCAAUAUCAAAUCUCCCCUUCAUCUCUAAGAUUUUAGAAAAGGUUGUAGCAAAGCAGUUAUGCUCGUACUUAGAUAGGAAUAACAUUCAUGAAAUGUAUCAGUCAGGAUUUAGACCUCAUCAUAGCACAGAGACAGAGUUAGUUAAAGUAGUAAAUGACCUUCUACUGACUUACGAUCAGGGUUGUGUCUCGCUGCUUGUGUUACUCGACCUUACUGCAGCUUUUGAUACUAUAGAUCACACUAUUCUCCCUGAUAGAUUAGAAAAUGUUGUUGGUAUUAAGGGAACAGUCCUCUCCUGGCUCAGGUCUUAUCUGACCGAUCGUUAUCAGUUCGUAGAUGUAAAUGGUGAAUUCUCCAUGCGUACUGAGGUUACUUUUGGAGUUCCACAGGGUUCUGUUUUAGGCCCACUGCUCUUUACUUUAUAUAUGCUACCCCAGGUCAAAUUAUUCGUAAACAUGGAAUUAGCUUCCACUGUUAUGCUGAUGAUACACAGUUGUAUGUUUCAGCGAAGCCAGAGGACAGACAUAAGCUUAGUAAAGUUGAGGAUUGUGUAAAGGACAUUAGACAUUGGAUGUUAAUUAACUUCCUUCUGCUUAAUUCUGAUAAAACAGAAAUACUUUUAUUAGGCCCAUGUGUAGCUAGAAGUAUCCUUUCUGAUCACAUGGUUACUCUGGAUGGUCUUUCUGUUUCAUCAUGUGCAGCAGUUAAAGACCUUGGAGUGAUUAUUGACUCCAGCCUAUCAUUUGAUGCUCAUGUAGAUAAUAUUACUAGGAUCGCCUUCUUUCAUCUCAGAAAUAUUUCUAAAAUAAGAAACAUAUUGUCACUACAUGAUGCGGAAAUACUAGUUCAUGCAUUCGUCGCCUCUAGAUUAGAUUACUGUAAUGCCUUACUGUCUGGAUGUUCCAGUAGGAAUAUAAAUAAGCUCCAAUUAGUCCAGAAUGCAGCUGCUAGAGUCCUAACUAGAACUAGAAGAUACGACCACAUCACCCCGAUCUUAUCCACACUGCAUUGGCUCCCUGUAAAAUCUCGCAUUAAUUAUAAAAUACUCUUAUUAACCUAUAAAGCACUAAACGGUCUCGCGCCACAAUAUCUAAGCGACCUUUUGGUUUUAUAUGAUCCGCCACGCCUACUUAGAUCAAAAGAUGCAGGCUAUCUGACGGUACCUCGAAUAGUGAAGGCUACAGCAGGGGGAAGAGCUUUCUCUUAUAGGGCCCCACAGUUAUGGAACAGUCUUCCUAUUAGUGUUCAGGACUCAGACACAGUCUCAGUGUUUAAGUCUAAGCUUAAAACGUAUUUGUUUACUCAAGCCUACCCUGACUAGAUUCUGUUCUAUUUUCUCCCUCUCUCCUUUCGCCGAGCCCCACACGAAUUUAUGGAGAUACUAGAGAUCCUGAUCCUUUCAGCCUCUGGAUGGAGCUCAAAUCUUCUUUAAUUCCAGACUGCUGGGACUACGGCUGCUCUUAACACCAUACAGAUUUCAUAUAAAUCCAUAAUGAACUUUUUCACAAUAUCUGUUGUUACCCAGAUGAGGAUGGGUUCCCUUCUGAGUCGGGUUCCUCUCAAGGUUUCUUCCUCUUAAAACAUCUUAGGGAGUUUUUCCUUGCCACCGUCGCCACUCAGUGGCUUGCUCAGUUGGGAUAAAUUCACACCUUUAAUAUCUGUAUACCGUGUUGAUAUUUCUGUAAAGCUGCUUUGAGACAAUGUCUAUUGUAAAAAGCGCUAUACAAAUAAAAUUGAAUUGAAUUGAAUUGAAUUGAAUUAAUGGACCAUUAAUCACAAUUAUAAAAGAUGAUGCAUCAGGUACAAAGUAUCAGGGUUUUUCCCCCCUCUUUUUCCCACAAUAGUUGCAUGAUUUUUGCUACACCCUUUCCACCGUGUGUGUGUGUGUGUGUGUGUGUGCGCGCGCGCUACAAAUCACUUUGAGGUAAAAAUAUUUUAAGGCAGCCACUUUCACCUUCCUACAACAAUUGGUGACUGGUCUGAGGUGAAGCUUCUUGUCAUGUUACUGUGGUCAUGGAUCACAUUGUGGGGAUCUCUGUAAUGUAACCGUUUCUGUAAUUAUCCUUACUUGCCUUUGCGCUUUUGUGCUUCUGUAUCUUCUGUUGGUGCUUUAUUCUGCUUUUUAGGGCCCGAGCACCGCUGCUGCAAAGCCCUAUUGGAUCUGCUGUUUAUUAUUGGGGCAGAGCACCGAAGGUGCAGCGCUUCCGGUGACCACCGGAGGGCGCAUGCACCGGAUGUGCAGGGCCCUAUUGAUUUUCUGGUGUUUAUUGUUUAUUUCAUGCAUUCUUGUCGUUUUUAAGGACCUAAACAUGGCUGAAAACUCCCAAAACUCGGUAGACGCGCCAGCACCAGUGAAAAUGUAACUUGCAUGGGCAUGGUCGAGGAGCUCCUUAGCACCCCUGAAUGCAGACAAAGAUAUCAGUUAGAUUCAGCUUCGGACACAAGUUCCAGGUACUGAUCGAGAAGGAGUGGAUCAGCUUCGGACACAAGCUGGCCUCGGUGCGUAUGAGCAGUGAGGGCGUGGUUGUGUGUGGGCGCGUGAACGCAUGUAUAUUUAACCCCAUCUUUCUCUCUCUGUGUGUUUCUCAGCGUGUCGGCCUUGGAGAUGAGAAUCACGCCAACUCGGAACGAUCCCCUCUCUUUGUGCAGUUCAUCGACUGUGUGUGGCAGAUGAUGAGACAGGUGAAACCCAGGGCUCAAACCAAGAGAAGACAUUCAGAGCUAUUCAUUCUUUAAAGUCCAUUUAACGAGGUACACCUGGCCAGCAAGAAAAAAACAUCAGUCACUCGUUCCAGUAUUUUUGAACAGUUAAUGAAUAGGAUGGCUUCAAAAAAGCUGCCAUAUUUUAAGCUGUGUAACACGUCUAGAUGUAAAUAUGAGGAAAUGAAAGCUGAAAUUCUGAUCUAUCGUCUCAUAUUCGUCUUUUAUCUCAAACCCAAAUGUCUUCAGUAUACAGCAAAAGCAAGUGAAUUGGCCUUGAUGUUCCAAUACUUUUGAAGAGGACUCUAAUUGUAAGAAUUAAAUAUAAUUUCCGUACUGAACAAAGACUGAUUAUCUGUUCAGGCGUUAUUGUGCAGAUCCACAUUUAAGCAUCUUACUAUACACUGUUAAACCCAGUGUUUGUGUUCUUUCUUUCAGUUUCCUUCUGCUUCUGAGUUCAAAGAGCUUUUUCUCAUCCCCAUCCUGGAUCGCCCCUACAGCUGCCUGUUUGGUACAUUCCUCUACAGCAGUGAGCAGGAGAGAAUGGAAAAGGAAGUACAGGGUAAAACGGUCACUGUGGUCCUACGUUAACAGUCAGCCGGAGGACUUCACUAACCCGUUCUAUGUGGACUGUAAAAACCAGGUGCUGUAUCCACUGGCCAGUCUCGCACAUCUGGAGCUCUGGGUGGGUUAUUAUGUGCGCUGGAACCCACACAUGAGACCACAGAUGCCGCUUCAUCAGAAUCUGAGAGAGUUAUUGUUUUUGCGUGAAGAACGUGGAGGAGCUCCAGAGAGAGGCCACGUCAUCCUGCUCCAUCUCCUCAUCCUCAGAGCAUACUUCUCCCUCCUCACAUAGUGCAUAAACGGCCCUUUCUCUGUCUCUCUGUAAGUAGAUGACCAUCCUGACCUCUGAGGCUUCAUCACUCAUCACCAUGGUAACUGUCUUGUCCACCCCCAGUAAAAGGCUGCAUACUCAUACUGUGCUGUGAAAAAGCGUUUGCUUCCAUCUGCUUUUUAGCAAGUGCACACUUCCAUCCAUCCAUCCUACACAGGGUUGUGGGGAGCCUGGAGUCUAUCCCAGGGAACUCGGGGCACAAGGCAGGGGACACCCUGGACAUGGUGCCAACCCAUCACAGGGCACAAUCACUCGUGCACACACACACUGGACAAUUUUGGAGAUGCCAAUCCACCUACAACGGAUGUCUUUGGACUGGGGGAGGAAACCCCUGAAGCACAUUUGCAGGGACAUCGAGGAAAUUUAGUGAAACCCAGUCAGUGAUCUUAUUGGAUAAUUAGUCUCUAAUGAUUUGACCUUGUUUGUUACGCUGCUAAAUAUUUUCCAAAGGUAUGGAAGUGAUGUUAAGUCAGCAGACGUAUUGUGUGGGUUUGUGUUCUCUCUCCCUCCCCCUGUUUUUUUCUCACAGGUCGCUCUGACCUAAUUCGUUGUGCUGACGUGCUGCACGGGGAUUGGAGAGGAGAAGAUUGUCCCUCUUUUAAAAAGGAGGACGAACAAUAUGUUGGGAGGAAUGCGGAUGUGUGGGGUGUCUGUGUCUGCGUGUGUACGACUGAGUAGCGAAUGUUUUUCCUGGUGUUUGAGUGAAAUCGCUUGCUUGUUGUGUGUGUACGAGUGAAAGAAGUGAGUGGAAGUAUAUUGUGUUGUCCCAUUCCCCUGGUUUGUCUUGUGUUGUGGCUGAGUGUACGCCUGAAUUGUAAAUACAUCUUUCAUUGUAAAUAUUUCUCUUCUUACUGUCAUGAAAGCUGUAGGGGUUGUGUGGCGUUUAUUUUUGGGCUCUACCUUUUGUUCGCUGUUUUUGCCUCAGUGAGGGAGUCAGGUUAGACUCUGUUUUCUUUUGACAUACCUUUUUUGUUAGGUUAGUUAAACUGAUACAGGGAAGAUAUCGAUUGUUUUGUUUAUUACAUUGGCCUUGCCAGCCCUGAAGAGUGGUGCUUUCCGAGUGAUUCUGUUUGUUUUGCAUUAUUUUUCUUGUGAUCAUUAAAUUUGUAAGAUUUGAAAGACGUGAGGUAAUGAGAUAAUGAGGUGUCAACCUCAUUAUUUCUGAGUCUGAUUUGUUUUUGUUUAUACUUUUUUUAUGUUACACCUCGACCCUAGACUGGGGUCGUAACAGUGAGUCAAAAAUAACUUCCGUUUCCUUUUAUGGACUUUUGUGGGCAUUGCUACAUGGAAAUGAGCUGUGUCAGGAACACGGUUUGCACUUUAGAGGUGAACAACACGCGUACACAAGUACGAAGAACAUCGGCGUUUCCGAAACUUUUAUAAAUCCGGCAGAAACGUUUAGUUUGGUUUGACUUGGGCAAACAUUUACACACAACUUUACUAAAAGAAACUUGC
Long non-coding RNA from Ictalurus punctatus (channel catfish), 6449 nucleotides. RefSeq lists it as uncharacterized. Lineage: Eukaryota; Metazoa; Chordata; Actinopteri; Siluriformes; Ictaluridae. The record is from RefSeq and is a predicted model, not a curated record. The transcript has 7 exons.